Molecule: ribosomal RNA, 459 nt
Filed under: uncultured bacterium
Lineage: Bacteria
Description: partial 16S ribosomal RNA
Rfam family: Bacterial small subunit ribosomal RNA
Source: RNAcentral
CCUACGGGAGGCAGCAGUGAGGAAUAUUGGUCAAUGGGCGCGAGCCUGAACCAGCCAAGUCGCGUGAGGGAAGACGGUCCUAUGGAUUGUAAACCUCUUUUGUCGGGGAGCAAAAGACGCCACGCGUGGCGUUCCGAGAGUACCCGAAGAAAAAGCAUCGGCUAACUCCGUGCCAGCAGCCGCGGUAAUACGGAGGAUGCGAGCGUUAUCCGGAUUUAUUGGGUUUAAAGGGUGCGCAGGCGGAAGAUCAAGGCAGCGGUAAAAUUGAGAGGCUCAACCUCUUCGAGCCGUUGAAACUGGUUGUCUUGAGUGAGUGAGAGGUAUGCGGAAUGCGUGGUGUAGCGGUGAAAUGCAUAGAUAUCACGCAGAACUCCGAUUGCGAAGGCAGCAUACCGGCGCUCAACUGACGCUCAUGCACGAAAGUGUGGGUAUCGAACAGGAUUAGAUACCCGGGUAGUC